AACAAGUAAUUGAGAUUUAAACAAAGUCAAACUUUUUAAUAUUUUAAGUUAAAAUUAUGAGAUACUAAUUUGUUUGUUUUUUUUACUUUGUGGGUCAAAUUUGGAGACAGGAAGUAAAAUGAUUUACUUUCAAAGUAAAACACUGUGACACUGGAUAGUGAAAAGUUUGACCGUCAAAGUCAAAGUUCAGAGAUAAUAAAUCAAAAAUGUCACUUUCAAAGUGAAAAUUUUGAUAUUCUUACUUUGUUAUUUAAAAUUACGUCACAAAUUUAUUUUCACUUUGUCAAAAUGUUUAAAGUUUUACUAUGUAAUGUUCAUUCUGUCAUAAUAUCAAAGUGUUGGACAGAAACAACAACAUUCUGGUGAUUUAGAGUCUUAUAAUAGAGGAGCUAGAAGUAUAAAGUUUGACCUGAUGGUGGCGCUACAGGAAAGGUCGUGUGUUCAUCCUCUGGAGAGACUUCAGGACAGUGAUAACCAAACAGCUGAAUUAUUUACGAGAUCAUCAGUAAGAACAGACCUGCACAGAUACAACAGGAUCCGGUUUGGUGUGUUUGGAGCUUAAAUACCAGAAAAAUGUCAAAGUUUUUGAGCCACAAAAUAGCAAAAUUAAGGAAUAAAGUCUCAGAUAUCUUGUGAAGUGAAUAUUCAGGUGAGCGCUUCCUGUCAUCAGGAGCAGAUGUGUGUGUGGGGGCGGAGCCUGGUAACACCUGUUCAGCAGGUAAGAGACACCUGGCACCUGUUGUUGUGACUCUCAGCACCAUGGCAACACCAGACAGCUGCAUCCCAAACUAUGAAAGUUUCAGUAAUUAAGAGUCAGAGUAGUUUUCAUUAUGUUGACGUUCACCUCGUGCAGGUAAGGAGGUGUGUGUGUGUGUGUGUGUGUGUGUGUGUGUGUGUGAGAGCUGUAUUUAUACAUAUAUAUUAUACUUAUAUCAACUUGUUUGUGUAAGAAAGCUAGAAAAUUCUACACAGUUUAUCCUCUAGAGGGUCGAUAUUUAUGUAUAGAACAUAAUUAAUCUUUCACAUAAAAUACAGUGUAAACACAAGUCAACAUAAGUUCUUUUGAUAUAUUUUAUAUGUCAUAAUUUUUCUUUAAUAUAAUAUAAUACUGCAGAUUAAUCAACUUGUGUAUCAUUGCAAUAUGCAACAUCCAGGAAUAAAGAGCGAAUGUUAACGUCUGCUGUGUGUUAGACGUUGUUGUAAGAAAGUCACAUGACGAGUGGAAGUUUUUUGCAAAACUAAUGUUUAAAUGUAACGUUGUCUGAUGUCAUCAGCAUGUUAACAUGAAGGUCUUGAUAAAGGGUUUGGUUGCUAACGUUAGCAUCGUUGCAGCUGCGGAUCCGUCUGUCGUUCAAGUUAUUUUCAUCUCGCCAGACGUCAAACGACAUAAAAUGUGCAAAGUCUUUCAUUUGUCUGAGUCUUUCUUUCACACUAAACGUUUUUAGGGAGUUUUAUCUGUUACGUCCCUGAAGGAUCUUCAUCUCUUCCUGAUGGCGGUCGUGGGGUCGUCGGACCUUCUGAAAUCAUUUGGAUUAGUUCUUUAGUAAAGCAGACUGUUCUAUAACCGUCUGAUAGUUGUUGAGAAACAGACAUCAGCCUCCAGAAAGCGACAUCACCGCUAUGACUGACAAUCCAAACUUUAAAAAUAGAUCAUAUUUAACCCUGACACUCAGGUUCUCCAGCAGAGAGAGCAUCCUGGUCAUUAAUGUUCAUUUUGAGGUGAAAAACUCCAUAUUACAGCGUUAAUGUGGCCUUGAACAGUCUUGUUAUCAAAGCUCAGAGAAGAGAAAUGUUGCCGGGUCAUUAUCAUGGACGACCACCUCUCAGAGAUGAGAGAGUCGACUCUCGGUUUCCCCUCGAUGGCAAUUAGACGAGUGUGAUGGGAUGAACUUCACUGUUUUAGCCGAGAGCGAAAACUCUGCUGUCAGGCUGCUGCUGACAACCAGACGAGAGAGGAAUCAAAUAAAUCUGCAGCUCGGCUCCGUUUAAUCCACUCUGAGAGACACAAAUACUGAAGGAAGGAGCUUUUACUGCAGUACAAGUAUCAGUACUACAACAGAGAAAUACCUUUAAAACUAUUCAACUAUUAUUAUGUGUGACGUGUUCCUUUAUUACCAUGAACACACACACACUGGAGUUUAGAAAUACUCACAAUGUGGAUUCAUCCGCCACUGAAAAUAGUCCCCAACAAACGAUGGUGAAAACUGUUGUUUUUAAUAAGCUGUUUAAAGGAAGUGAAACUGUAUAUGUGUGAUACAUCAUCUUCAGUAUGAAAUACAAAAUAACACCAGACACAUAAUUAAAAGUCUUCAGUAACAGCAAAUAUUUUUCUGUUUUAUUGUUUUAUUCUAUUCUGA
This is a long non-coding RNA of Thunnus maccoyii (southern bluefin tuna), 2357 nucleotides long. RefSeq lists it as uncharacterized. NCBI's taxonomy places the organism in Eukaryota, Metazoa, Chordata, Actinopteri, Scombriformes, Scombridae. The transcript has 3 exons. The record is from RefSeq and is a predicted model, not a curated record.